RNAcentral lists this long non-coding RNA (4066 nucleotides) under Homo sapiens (human). RNAcentral's name for it is "non-protein coding lnc-ATRN-4:2". Lineage: Eukaryota; Metazoa; Chordata; Mammalia; Primates; Hominidae. The record is from RNAcentral.
ACACCAGCUCCAUCACAAACAAUGCCCAGACCAACAAGAUCAGCACCAAACGCAUAGGGCACAGAAAUCGGAAACGGAUCUUCCUAUAUCUAAAGGGGGCGGGGAACGCUCCCCACGAUCACCCCCUCCCCAUACUGAGGUAGCUUGGGACUGUGUCUCUACGUAAUUGGUGCUAGAUCACUUAAAUUACAACACUGGCUGAAAAUCCUUCCUACACUAAUGAAGAUUUGGACAAUCCCUAUGGUGUCUCCUUCAGGUUUGGCUGAGGGAAGACCAGAAGGGAGUAGGAAUUUAAAGUGCUCGUCUUUCAUAUUCAAGAAAGGAAAAUACUUUUUUAGCUCAAGUCCGGAGUCGUGAACAAAUAACCACCAUUAUUUAGAGAUAACUUCUCGUCGGUGCAGCAGCUCUGAAAAUCAGCCAAUCAGCGAUAGCCUCACUCCGGUAACUAUGCUUCUUAGUAAAUCAAUGACAACCCCACGCUUCUGAAAGUCAGCCAAUCAGUGACCGCUCUAAGCCUCCGACAAUAGCCAAUCAACAAGUGCCUGACACCAGCGACCAGGCUUCCGAAAGUCAGUGGGUACUCAGCUGCCGCACUCCACUUCUGAUUCGGAAAGACAGCCAAUCCCUGAAGGCGAAUAUUUCCAAAACCAUUUUUUUUUCUUUCCCAGACUGAGUCUCAUUCUGUCGCCCAGGCUGGAGUGCAGUGGCGCGAUCUCGGCUCACUGCAACCUCUGCCUCCCGGUUCAAGCGAUUCUCCUACCUCAGCCUACCGAGUAGCUGGGAUUACAGGCUCCCGCCACCACGCCUGGCUCAUUUUUGUAUUUUUAGUAGAGACGGGUUUUGCCAUGUUGGCCAGACUGGUCUCAAACUCCUGACCUCAGUUGAUCCGCCUGCCUUGGCCUCCCAAAGUGCUGGGAUUACAGGCCUGAGCCAUCGCGCCCGGCCUUUUUUUUCUUUUUCUCCUUUUUUUUUGGAGACAGAGUCGCACUCUGUUGCUCAGGCUGGAGUGCAGUGGCGUGAUCUCAGAUCACUGCAACCUCUGCCUCCUGGUUCAAGCGAUUCUUGUGCCUCAGCUUCCCAAGUAGCUGGGAUUACAGGCCUGUGCCACCAAGCCUGGCUAAUUUUUUGUAUUUUUAGUAGAGACAGAGUUUCGCCAUGUUGGCCAGGCUGGUCUUGAACUCCUGGCCUCAAGUGAAUCGCCAGCCUUGGCCUCCCAAAGUGCUGGUAUUACAGGCGUGAGCCGCGCCCGGCCUUCAAAACCUUUUAUAAGAUCAGCUCUGGCUUUGUUCAGAGAGGCUGUACCUUACAAGUACCGCUCUCCCUUGCAAGCAGAGAAGAAAUUCACUUUUUUUUUGCAUCAGAUAUUGAGUUCAAUUUAUUGUUUUGUCCGAGUUCAAAGUUCACAGCUCAAGAUUCAAUUCCCAGUUACUAUUUGGUAUGAGUUUGGACUUAUGACAGACGCUAUGACACCGUCAUGAGAUUUAUCAAAUACAACUCUUUCAAUUCUUUCUAUGCUUGCAGUGAUCAAUUUUUUAGCUCAAGUCCAGAGUCAUGAACAAGUAACCACCAUUAUUUAGAGAUAACUUCCCAUCGGUGCAAAAGCUCUGAAAAUCAGCUCUAAAAACAAUUCAACGGGGCUACACGUGGUGGUGCACGCCUGCAGUCCCAGCAAUUUGGGAGACUAAGACAAGUGGAUUUCUUGAGCCCAAGAGUUUGAGACCAGCCUGGGCAACGUGGCAAAACCUCAUCUCUCUGUCUCUCUCUCUCUAUAUAUAUAUAGUUUAUUUAUAAAAAUAUAUAUUUAUAUUAUAAUUUAUGUAUACAAAUAUAUUUCAUAUAUGCACACACACACAAAUUGGCCAGGCAUAGUGGCAUGUGUCUGUAGUCGCAGCUAUUCAGGAGACUGAGAUGGGAGGAUCGCUUGAGCCUGGGAGGUCUAGGAUGCAGUGAGUUAAGAUCAGGCCACUGCACUCCAGCAUGGGGGACUGAGUGAGACCCUGUCUCAAAAAAAAAAAAAAAAAUCAAUGAGUAUAGGCACAGAUUUGUGCAACCACCACCACAAUCAAUUUUAGAACAUUUUUAUCACUCCAACAGGAAAAUCCUGUACCUAUUAGCAGUCAUUCCUCCAUUUCUUCCCAACCACCCCAGCCCUAGGCAACCACUAACCUUUUAAUUUGCCUAUUCUGGACAUUUCAUGUUAUCAGCAUCAUUCAAUAUAUGGUUUUUCAUGACUGGCUUCUUCCAUUUAGCAUAAUGUUUAUAAGGUUCAUCCAUGUUGCAGCAUGUAUCAGAAUUUUGUUCCUUUUCAUGGUUGAAUAUUAUUACAUUGAAUGGAUAUACCACAUCUUGCUUAUCCAUUUAUCUGUUAAUGAACAGUCAGAUUGUUUCCACUGUUUUGCUAUGUUUUGUAGCUAAUGCUAUUAUUAACAUUUGUGUACAAGUUUUUUUGUGGACACACAGUUUGUUUCCUUGGCGAUCUAGGAGUGGGUUUCUGGAUCACAUGGUAACUCUACGUUUAACCUUUUGAGGAACUGCCAAACGGUUUUCCAAAGUGGCUGCACCAUUUAUAUUCUCACCAGCAUCAUAUGUGGGUUCUAAUUUUUCCAUAUCUUCCCUAAUACUCAUUAUCUUUUUCACUAUAGCCAUUUUAGAGGGUAUGAAGUGGUAUCUCAUUGUGGUUUUGGCUUAUAUUUCCUGAUAGCUAAUGAUGUCAAGCAUCUCUUCAUGUGCUUAUUAGCCAUUUGGACCUCCUCCUUUUUUUUUUUUUUUUUUUUUUUUUGAGACGGAGUUUCACUCUUGUUGCCCAGGCUGGAGUGCAAUGGCAUGAUCUCAGCUCAACGCAACCUCUGCCUCCCGGGUUCAAGCGAUUCUCCUGCCUCAGCCUCCCGAGUAGCUGGGAUUACAGGCAUGCGCCACCGCGCCCAGCUAAUUUUGUAUUUUUAGUAGAGACGGGGUUUCUCCAUGUUGGUCAGGCUGAUCUCAAACUCCCGACCUCAGGUGAUCUGCCCACCUCAGCCUCACAAAGUGCUGGGAUUACAGGCAUGAGCCGCCGUGCCUGGCCUAUACCUCUUCUUUGGAGGAAUGUCUGCUCGAAUUUUUUGACCAUUUUUACUUGGUUACUUGUCCUUUUAUUAUGUUGUGGUAGCUCUUUAUAUAGUCUAGAUAUAAGUACCUUAUCAGAAAUACAAUUUGCAAAAAUUUUAUCCCAUUCUGUGGGUUGUCUUUUCACAUUCUUGAUAUUGUUGUUUGAAACACAAAACUUUAAAAUUUUAAUGAUAUCCAGUUUAUCAAUUUUUUUCUUUUGUUGCUUGUGCUCUAUGUGUCAUAACUAGGAAACUAUUGCCUAAUCCAAAGUCAUGAAGACGUACCUCUUACAUUUUCUUCUAAGAGUUUAAUAAUUUUGGCUCUUACAUUUUAGAUCUUUGAUUAAUUCCAAAUUAAUUUUUCUAUAUGAUGUGAGGCAGGGAUCCAACUUGAUUCUUUUCCAUGUGGCUAUUCACUUGUCUCAGCACCAUUUGUUGAACAGACUAUUUUUUUCCCCAUUGAAUUGUCUUGGUACCCUUGUUGAAAAUCGAUUGUGUUAUCUAUUUCUUUAUUUGUGUAUAUGUGAAUCCACAAAUGCCAAAUUGCAAGAGUGAAUUUUAUGACAAAUUUUCUGAAGAGUGUACAUUUAUUAAAGGAGAGAAAAUCCAUUUGCAGCUCUUUAUGUGGUAUGCAAGUAUUUAUUCAAUAUUGAAAAUGGUGGAAAGACAGAUAUACAUCAGCACAUACUAACGGCUAAGCAUAAAAGAUGUGUGAUUUUUGUACCAAAGGAAUGGAUAAAAUGACAAAUUUUAAAGAUAAAUUCAGAUUGAGAAGAUAAUCACAGCAAAGUUGUAAUGGCCUCCCAUACUGUCUGUUGUCAUCAUUCAGCUCAAGUCACUCUUUGAACAUACCGCUACCAGUAGUAUUUUCUAAUGCCAAUAUUUCAAGCAAAUUUUCAAAUGCCAGGACAAAAUCUACUGCAAUAAUUUGAGAUGUAACGACUCCACUUACUACUGUUGCAGUGAUUAUCAAAGCUGUAAAU